RNAcentral lists this long non-coding RNA (1824 nucleotides) under Homo sapiens (human). Its description in RNAcentral is "ARL14EP divergent transcript, transcript variant 3 (ARL14EP-DT)". The record is from RNAcentral. Lineage: Eukaryota; Metazoa; Chordata; Mammalia; Primates; Hominidae.
AGAUGCUGUCUUUUGCAGUCCUCCGAGAGCCUUCUCCGCUGGUGGUAUACUUACGAGGACCAGAGGUGAGGUGUCAGCAAGGAGGCCCACAGGUGGAAAGUGCUUUGGGCCAAUGGUACACACCUGCUUUAUUGGAUAGACGCAGAGAAGUAUGCCUGGUCACAGCCAGAGCUUACUCGGUCAAGAAAUUAUGAGCUCCCCAGAAGUCUCUUGUAUGCUGUCUCCUAGUUGUGAGCACCUUUUACCAAAGACGUUUCCUGCUUCCCCUUCACCUUCAGCCAUGAUUGUAAAUUUCCUGAGGCCUCCCAAGCCAUGCUUCCUGUACAGCCUGUGGAACUAUGGUCUGAGAGUACCUGUGCUGAAAUGGAAUUGUCUUUGAGUGGACACUUCUUAGAUGAGACCUAUUGUGGCCAAUAGCUCCUGAGGAACUGAAGCCUUCAGUUCAAAACUUGUGUGAGAAAAAUGAAUCUUGCCAACUACUGGAGUGAGCUUAGAAAUGAAUCCAUCCCCAGUUGACCCUUGAAUGUAGCCUUGUCAGAGACCCAGAGACAAAGCAUCCUGCUAAUCUGCACUGGGUUCUAGGCCCACAGAAACCAUGGGAUAAUAACUUUGUGUUGCUAUAAGCCACUGAAAACAAACAAAUAAAAUACUUAAGAUGUUCCCCUGUGGAAGGGUUCCAUUGCCAGGGAUCUGCACUUCACAACCAAAGGGAUUAAAGAGAAUUGCCUUCUUCAGAUUUCAGACUGUGGCCUGCUUCUGGUUUUUCUUUCUAUAUUCAUAUAUAUGUUUGUUUAAAUCAUCCUACUUUUGGAGCAGGAAAAGUUACUAUUACAGUUUAUACAAAGGGAAGAAAUCUGGUACAUGCUAAAGUUAUUCAUCUGUAACUACCUGACGAGCCCAAUUAGUUGCUUGCUCCUAUGGAUUCUGAGCCUAAAAUCCCUUCAACAGAUCUUUGACCUUUUCUAAGUUAAGUUUUUGGAAGUAUCCUAUUUGUUCACUUACUUGGGCCAGAGACUAUAGAGAUUAAGAGAAAGUUUGAUAUUUGACCCUAAUUUUAGGCUAAAACAAUUUAGAUGGAAAGAACAGACACAAUUCAAUUUAACCAUCUUCAACUGCUGUGCUUUAGAAAGCUGGGAGUGUGGAGAAUGGAGUAGGUGUACAGAAAAAUAAGAACAGUUCUGUUCUUCAGGGCUUGAUAAAGGCUGCUGUGAGUUGGAUGGACAAUAAUUACUACUGACUAGGUCUAGCUGGGAUAGUUAGGGGAGACUUUCUGAAAGAGGCAACACAUGAGCUGGGUUCUAAAUCUCAAAUAGGAUUUGAUGGCUGAAGAUGAGGGUAAUAAAACAAGAGAAACAAGUACAUUCCAGAUAGAAAGAAUAGUAUAAGCCAAGAAAAACCUAUUCCAGGGCAGCAGGGAAGAGUCUGAAGUGGCAAAACAAAGUAGGAGGCAAAGCUGUCAAUAUAAGUAACUUGGUAGAGAAACAUUAGGAGUUUGGAUUUUAUCCCAUUGACUAGGAGGAUUUAAAAACAGAAAAUGCUCACAGGGGCCAGGCAAGUUAUGAGUAAAUAAAAGGUCCAGGUGUAAGUGCAACAGGGCCCAUGGACAUAGGAAUGGGGGAUGUGAAAAACCAACCUUUGCUAACAGUGAGUUCUACUAUGCAGUUUUAGCUGAUUAUAGCCAGACUCGAAAGCAACCUUUGUAGGGUUGACAGUUCUUGUGAUUGUUCAAGAAAAAAAUUUAUGUAAAAUCUACUGACUUGAAAAUACUAGAUUAAUUUAUUUAAUGUUAUAGAGCUCAAAUAAAACACAUUUGUCUUAUUUAUA